GGUUCCUUGAGAGUGGUGUGCCCUAAGACGGCAUAUCCUCGACUGGCAAAAUAAACCUCUAAUCAAUAGAGAUCUGCCUCAGUCACUUUUUGGUUUACAUGUUGGUGACCACAAAGGAACUCCGAGUGGAGUCUGGCUGUUGGCCUCCAGCAAGUCUCCUAUUGGGGCCCUGGUACCAGCUGGAACUCUUUAUUACUCUUACAGAUUGGAUGAUUUGCUAUGUAAGUUCUGGGAACUUCUCCCUCCAGAGAUCCCUGAUCUCCCCCAAAUUUUCAAUUGGGAUCUGAGGUUUAUUCUGCUGUAAAACUCCUUUUCUGGUAGUUUCUGCUUCCAUGAUGGCAGACAGCAGUCUUCAGCUUGGGUCCAUCUCCAGCUUUUUGUUUCCUGUCUUUUUUCAUCUGUUGGGGGCACAUGAGGCUUUGGGGCCUUUGUGUGCGUAUGGUCAGCUGAGAAGUAACAUCAUCAGGAAGACGGGUGCUUCACCAUGCUUCUGCCUGUACCAGUGUACAGAAUAUAAAGCCUUGGAGGAACUGCAGUUGAUGACAGCAUCUUCCCCUUCUCGGAGGAUCACGGCUUGAGGACUCUGCACUGGUUGUUGGCUUCUCACCCCUGAUCAGAAAGACAAUCGAAUGAGAUGCUCAAUCUCGUGAAGGGAAGGGUGAUUUUCUCCCUUCCUUCCUUAUUUAAAACAUUAAGCAUCACCACAUAAUUACGGUACAUUUUCCUCACUUCUUAGGUCUGGUUCUUAAAAGGGCCCUUCCCAAGACAGAAAGCUAUUGUCAUUAAGAUGCUGUCAUAUCACAACCUCUCCCAGACUGAAUCGUGUACUCACAGGCCAACUGCCACAACAAGGUGCCUGAAAGCACUUUCAGGAGAGUCUCCAUCCUUGGCCUGCCAGAAUAUCCAGUCAGCUUCUGAAUAGGCUUCCUUAACAGGAGUUGCUUUGAACUCAGAAUGAGGCCUGUUGCAAUUGCUUCCAGGAUAUUGCAACUUUGGGGGCAACCAAUCAGAGACACAUCACAACAGUUUAACUGCAGAGAACUAAAUGCAUCUACCUAGAAUACUUUUUAAACAGCUCUCCCCUGUGGCCAGACUGAGGAAUGUUGAUUAAACUGUGGAUUUUGGCUUUUCUUGAGUAAGUUUUCAUCCAGGAUAGGUUUUUUUCUUGCUAUAAGAAGGGCCUAUCAAUAUACUGUGUUACAGAAAGAAUUACUCCAGAAUUAAGAGAAAAAAGAAGCAUCAAGGGAAAAUGUAUUAUAUGUGUUUUACUACAUAUAUGUAUUUUAUAUACAUG
Molecule: long non-coding RNA, 1294 nt
Filed under: Pan troglodytes (chimpanzee)
Lineage: Eukaryota; Metazoa; Chordata; Mammalia; Primates; Hominidae
Description: long non-coding RNA NONPTRT004996
Source: RNAcentral